AAGACCACUAUAAAGGCUGCUAACCUUAAAAUAAUGGAAACAUUUGGUCUUU
This 52-nucleotide transfer RNA is filed under the name Ornithodoros turicata. RNAcentral's name for it is "tRNA-Ser". Lineage: Eukaryota; Metazoa; Arthropoda; Arachnida; Ixodida; Argasidae. The record is from RNAcentral. RNAcentral also lists the same sequence under 1 other name.